AAAAACUUUGCGACCGAUUGGGCGUCUUUUCGUUUCGUUGGACAUGCUUCGACCCACUGGGAGAACCUGUCCACAACAGCCAACAUGUAUCUUUUACCUUCCACUGGUCUAAUCAUGACAACAAAGUCAAUGACUAGUUCACGCAUGGGACCUGUGGGCGUUGGAACAUAGCCCAGAGGAACUGUCACCCUACGGCGAACAUUGGGCCAGAUUCACGAAGCGUUCUUACGAACAAAUUUGUUCUUAAGUCCCACUUACGAACAGUUGACGAAGAUUGUGGCAUUCACCAAUUUCUUCUUAUCCUGGAUUUAUUCGUAGGGGAUCGAGGAUAUGCCCUGGUUGUUGACACCACUGACCAACCCUCAGACUCCACAGGAGUUUUAUUCAAUCAGAUGCAUGCGCGCAGUCGCUCCACCAUUGAACGCACCAUCGGCAUGUUAAAGGGGCGCUGGAUGUGUUUGGACACAGAGCCAAAACCCCGUGAGGAUGUGCGUCCUGACGCAAUGAUGGGGCCAGACUGCAGGCACGCGGUUCACGUUCGAGCGCGAUUAAUUGCCCGUUUGUGAAUAAAAUGCAUUAUUGUCACAAUCCGAGCACAGCUUUUACACGUUUAUUUUUUUUACAUUCUUCUUUUUUUUACAUUCUCGUUGAUUUCUUUAAGAAAAUCAACGAGAAAUUAUCUGGUCCUACUUUCCUUUUGCUCUUCACUCAAGAUCAAAGGUAGGUUUUAACAAAUAGAAACGGAUCUCACAAAUAUAGCUACACAAGAGUGUGUAUUUGUGUCUUACAUUAUUGACCAUCAAGUGCAUGAUGGUCUUGGGGAUCAGGUCUCUGACAGUGCGGUGAAUGAUGGACAGGUAUGAAUCCACCAGGUUCCUAACAAUCUCCAGCUGAGGGUCCAGACUGUGGAUGUGACCAUCUCCACUGGCCUCCUCAACCACCUCCUACACACCGGUUCACUUUAAUCAGAAUACACAUACAGGGGAUAGAUAUGCCCUGGCUCCCUGGUUGUUGACACCACUGACCAACCCUUAGACUCCACAGGAAAUGUUAUUCAAUCAGAUGCAUGCGCGCAGUCGCUCCACCAUUGAACGCACCAUCGGCAUUUUAAAGGGGCGCUGGAUGUGCUUGGACACAGAGCCACAACCCCAUGAGGAUGUGCGUCCUGACGCAAUGAUGGGGCCAGACUGCAGGCACGCGGUUCACGUUCGAGCGCGAUUAAUUGCCCGUUUGUGAAUAAAUGCAUUAUUGUCACAAUUUCAGUCUAACAGUCUUGAUUCACUUCAAAAAGAAAAAAUAAGAGACCAGUUUCAGAGCUUUUACACGUUUUUUUUUUUUUUUUUACAUUCUCGUUGAUUUCUUUAAGCGUGUUGGCUAUAGUCAUCAGGGUUGAGGCAAUUUUAUCAAGCGUGUUAGCCAUCCUUUCUUGAUUGUUCAACACGGCGUCAGAAGUCAGGCGUGGAGAGGCAAGCUUUGGGCAUUGU
Molecule: long non-coding RNA, 1484 nt
Filed under: Takifugu rubripes (torafugu)
Lineage: Eukaryota; Metazoa; Chordata; Actinopteri; Tetraodontiformes; Tetraodontidae
Description: lncRNA (ENSTRUG00000031668.1)
Source: RNAcentral